UACGUAGGGGGCGAGCGUUGUCCGGAUUUAUUGGGCGUAAAGAGCUCGUAGGCGGCUUGGCAAGUCGGGUGUGAAACCUCCAGGCUCAACCUGGAGACGCCACUCGAUACUGCCAUGGCUAGAGUCCGGUAGGGGACCACGGAAUUCCUGGUGUAGCGGUGAAAUGCGCAGAUAUCAGGAGGAACACCGGUGGCGAAGGCGGGACUCUGGGCCGAUACUGACGCUGAGGAGCGAAAGCGUGGGGAGCGAACAGG
Molecule: ribosomal RNA, 254 nt
Filed under: uncultured bacterium
Lineage: Bacteria
Description: partial 16S ribosomal RNA
Rfam family: Bacterial small subunit ribosomal RNA
Source: RNAcentral